RNAcentral lists this ribosomal RNA (255 nucleotides) under uncultured bacterium. RNAcentral describes it as "partial 16S ribosomal RNA". It matches the Rfam family "Bacterial small subunit ribosomal RNA", at positions 524 to 776 of the family's 1533-position model. The record is from RNAcentral.
UACGUAGGGGGCAAGCGUUGUCCGGAAUCAUUGGGCGUAAAGCGCGUGUAGGCGGCCCGGUAAGUCCGCUGUGAAAGUCGGGGGCUCAACCCUCGAAUGCCGGUGGAUACUGUCGGGCUAGAGUGCGGGAGAGGCGAGUGGAAUUCCUGGUGUAGCGGUGAAAUGCGCAGAUAUCAGGAGGAACACCAAUUGCGAAGGCAGCUCGCUGGAACGUAACUGACGCUGAGAACGCGGAAAGCGUGGGGAGCAAACAGG